CAGUAAAACACUCAUCUUCUUUGGUUUCGAAAAUGAGAGCACUCGUCCUCGUUUACAAAAUGGAGAGCGCUCUGCUGUGUGCUUCUCGCUUUGUUCCUUCAACAUACAAGCACAGAUUAAUAUCAUUGUGAUUUUAUUGUCUUUUAUCUUCUCGAAUUUCCGGUUAAUUUUGUGGUUGAAAUUUAUUGUUUUCUGUUAUUUUAAGCAGAUUAUAGUGAAGUGGGUGGCUGGGUGCAUUUGGAAGGAAUUUUCAUACUUCGUUUUCCGUCCAAGUGCCAUACAACAAUUCCCUUUUGAGUAGAAAUAAAGGAGCUGCUUGUAGAAGCCAUAUUGUCAUUGCUUCCGUGGUAAUUUUCAUAUCCUUUUGUUUUCAUGUUUCCCUAUUUCUGUCAUUGAACUUUAUUGUGAAAGUGGGGGAAAUUUUUGAAGUGUUCAACUUUGUUUAUUGCCUAGAUUGGAAGACAUUAAAUUUUCCCCUUGGAAAAGAUUUAAUUUAAUUCAAAAUGAGCGUUUAUUGUAUAUUUUUACUGGAAUUGAAAAUCCAGUUUUUUGAUAAUGAAUUAAGCAGCUACAAGUUUAAAUUUGGAAGAAAUCCAGUUUC
RNAcentral lists this long non-coding RNA (601 nucleotides) under Olea europaea subsp. europaea. Lineage: Eukaryota; Viridiplantae; Streptophyta; Magnoliopsida; Lamiales; Oleaceae. The record is from RNAcentral.